Molecule: long non-coding RNA, 3272 nt
Filed under: Homo sapiens (human)
Lineage: Eukaryota; Metazoa; Chordata; Mammalia; Primates; Hominidae
Description: HSALNT0199885
Source: RNAcentral
AAAACAGAAAAGAAUGUUCUUCAGAGGAAAAUAGAUGGUAAUGACCCCAAGGAGAUUCAGUUUUUCAUAAGACACAGUAGAUUUUGAAACACAGAGGAAUGCUUGAUACUUGAUAGGGACUCAUUUGUCUUAAACUGAGUUUUACAUUCAUGUUUUACAGGGCUUUUCUAUGAGUUACAAAGUAGUGGCUUAAACUGUUAAGGUUUGACCUGUGUUGAUGAUUGAGCUUCUUUUUUAUUUGUUCGAACAAGAGACUAGUUUUGAUUCACCCAGUCUUACAAUUACAUUGUGAAAUCAUAUUUGAAGACGUAUAAUAUAAUAAUCAUUGUUGACAGAUUUGAUGCUAUAUGUCAGUCCUUUUUAAAAUGUUUUUAUUAAUAAUGUUCUUGAAAAAUGUGAUCAGGUGAAAAGAGGAAGGGAAUAGAUAUGGAAAAGAAACAAGACAGAGGCAAAAAUGAAGGAGGGGGGAAGAAAAAGGGGGAUAAAUCUCUCUGCCUUACCUCUCUCCUCUCUAGGCAAGACGGUUUACAGUCCCAUUAUGGUUUUCAACAGAAACUUUUACAUCUCUUGGAGAGACAUCUUCCACCCUGAAUCGUACAAAUGUCUCUGUUUCUUACUUCUAUGAAGUAAAGAUAAAGCACUUAGCAGUAUGCUUGGCACAUAAUGUGCAUUUACUCCAUGUUUUUAAGUUUAAUACAUUAUAUAAGUGUGUAAAUAGGCCCUCAAUAAAGAUGAAAAACUACGUUCUUUGGAUCAAUGAGAGGAAAACUGAGAGAAGAAAGUGGAUUUGCCAAACUAAACUUCAACAAAGAUCCCCAGGGCACAGUCUGGGGAUUUGAAGGCAUUCAGCAAAUGCUGUUCAACGAAGAAAUGAAUAAGAAGCUGUCAGAAUAUUUAAGACAUAUGGUGCAUAGGCCUCCCACCAAAGAAGUGACAGCAGGAAUGGAGAGAAAGAAGGACAUCAGAGGUAUUUAAAAGAAACAAUCGUCAGGACAUGGUGACUGGAUGAAGAAAUGACAAGACCCAGAAACAAUUACAAUGUCCAGCCAGAAAGGUCCGGUGGCACUUUGGUACAAUUGAAGACACUAGGAAAUGUAGAUGCGUAGGUAGAUUCCCCACGCCCUCUUUUUUUUUUUUUUUUUUUUUUUUUUUUUGGGAUGGAGUUUUGCUGUGUCACCCAGGCUGGAGUGCAGUGGCACAAUCUCGGCUCAUUGCAACCUCUGCCUCCUGGGUUCAGGCGAUUCUCCUGCCUCAGCCUCCUGAGUAGCUGGGAUUACAGGUGCGUGCCACCACGCCUAGCUAAUUUUUUAUUCUAGUAGAGACAGGAUUUCACUAUGUUAGCCAGGCUGGUCUUGAACUCCUGACCUUAAGUGAUCCACCUACCCGGCCUCCCAAAGUGCUGGGAUUAUAGGCAGAGCCACCACAUCUGGCUUUUCCCACCCCCUCUUAUUUCACCAGUUGAUAGUUCUUGGGGCCUGGGAGUGGAGUGGAAGAAAGUGAGGUGGAUGGGACAGUGAGAGCAAUGUAUGAUGUCCUAUUCUAAAAUAUAAAAUAAUAAUAAUGCAAAUAAUAAUGUAAAUAAGUCAACCACAUGCUCAAGAAUUAAAGAUAAGGCUUAAGAUACAGAUACAUAAUUAAAACUACACUAAGCUAUUGAUUCUCUGGCAAUACUUUUAAGGAUACCUCUAAUUCCAAAGGCCUAUUAUAUUUGACAAAAAGCCUAUACGAUAUGCAAGAAUUGUAUUUUCUCAAUAUCAACCAUCACAUUUAGAAAACCUUCAGAAAGCAUAUGUACAUAGUAUCUUAUGUGUAAGUGAAUGAGAAUUUUAUGAAUAAACUUUUUAAGGGAAUUAAGACAAUACAAUCGUCUGUAUCUGAAAUAAAGCAGAGACAAAGGCAAAGAUUAUAGCUAUGGAUGAGGUGAACUGAGUAUCAAUACAUUCUAAGAUAACAUAGAGUUAAUGAAAUUUAUUAAAUGAUCAAUACCAGUAUAAUAAAUAUCCUGGCAAUAGUAAAACUGAUAGCCCAUAAUAAAGAGGAAAAUAUAUUCGAAUAGUCUUCCAAGAAGACAAAAAUAUAAAUACAUGGAGUUGUUUUUUUUUUUUUGAGAGAUGGAGUCUUGCUCUGACACCCCAGCUGGAGUGCAGUGGUGUGAUCUUGGCUCUCUGCAAGCUCUGGCUCCUGGGUUCACGCUAUUCUCCUGCCUCAGCCUCCAGAGUACCUGGGACUACAGGUGCCCACCACCACGCCCGGCUAAUUUUUUUGUAUUUUUAGUAGAGACGGGGUUUCACCAUGUUAGCCAAGAUGGUCUCGGUCUCUUGACCUCGUGAUCCACCCGCCUCGGCCUCCCAAAGUGCUGGGAUUAUAGGCAUGAGACACCAUGCUCGGCUGGAGACAUUUUUUACCAGAAAUUAUUUUGUUCUAUCAAUUACUUUGAAGAUACACUAAGCAGUUAUGAAUUAGAUGAAAUUAGCAAAGGUUGCAACAAUGUUAGGCAUGAACUGGUGAUAAUGCUGAGCCCAUUUCAACCAGAAAUAGAUGAAUUUAGUUUUGCUUAAAGGAAAGAUGAUCAGCCCAGCCAGGCACUGACCUCAGUAAACCAUUUCUAAACAGAGGAAGCUCUAACUUCCUCAUUUUGCCCAAAAAUGCUGCAUUAUGGGAAGUCAAGCCUAGGUAUUUCCAGGGUUCUCACUCCAGCUGUCCAUUCAGCUGCAGCCUGAGCCACCUGUUGCUACCCACAAACCUCCUCAACCAAGGACAGUGGGGAUCUAGGACCGUGUCUUUUGCAUUGCUUCGUGUCUAAGGAAGGUUGAGACUGCUUAAGAAUAGGAAUUUCACUCUUGCAAUGUAGCUAAGUGUCAAGGUCUGGGAAAGAAUGCUGCUACCAAGGGUGGCUCCGCAGGCUUUUAUUUUGUCCCACAGCUUGGUUCCAGACACCAACUCUUUAUCCUUCAGUCACCCUAGGGUGACUAAUGUCUAUCAGAUGCCUCAAUGUAUCUUUAUAUUGAACCUAAAUCUUCUUGGGUUAACUUAUGGAGAAUGGACAGAAAUGACUUGGGGAAGAAUGAGUAUAACAAGUGAGCAUGUAUAGAACCCAAAAGAUCUGAAUAUGAAGGACUUUUGGGAAAUAAAUCACUCUUUUUCAGUUUAUUGCUGUAAACAGUGUCAAGCUUGCUUUCCAACUACUGCGUCACAUAAAUGCCAACUCAUUUUCAUGUACUUUCUGAAAGAGAUAACAGAAACAGCAAAACAACAAAUAUGAUUAUAAAAAU